Molecule: ribosomal RNA, 2923 nt
Filed under: Escherichia coli
Lineage: Bacteria; Pseudomonadati; Pseudomonadota; Gammaproteobacteria; Enterobacterales; Enterobacteriaceae
Description: 23S ribosomal RNA
Rfam family: Bacterial large subunit ribosomal RNA
Source: RNAcentral
GGGUUGUGAGGUUAAGCGACUAAGCGUACACGGUGGAUGCCCUGGCAGUCAGAGGCGAUGAAGGACGUGCUAAUCUGCGAUAAGCGUCGGUAAGGUGAUAUGAACCGUUAUAACCGGCGAUUUCCGAAUGGGGAAACCCAGUGUGUUUCGACACACUAUCAUUAACUGAAUCCAUAGGUUAAUGAGGCGAACCGGGGGAACUGAAACAUCUAAGUACCCGAGGAAAAGAAAUCAACCGAGAUUCCCCCAGUAGCGGCGAGCGAACGGGGAGCAGCCCAGAGCCUGAAUCAGUGUGUGUGUUAGUGGAAGCGUCUGGAAAGGCGCGCGAUACAGGGUGACAGCCCCGUACACAAAAAUGCACAUGCUGUGAGCUCGAUGAGUAGGGCGGGACACGUGGUAUCCUGUCUGAAUAUGGGGGGACCAUCCUCCAAGGCUAAAUACUCCUGACUGACCGAUAGUGAACCAGUACCGUGAGGGAAAGGCGAAAAGAACCCCGGCGAGGGGAGUGAAAAAGAACCUGAAACCGUGUACGUACAAGCAGUGGGAGCACGCUUAGGCGUGUGACUGCGUACCUUUUGUAUAAUGGGUCAGCGACUUAUAUUCUGUAGCAAGGUUAACCGAAUAGGGGAGCCGAAGGGAAACCGAGUCUUAACUGGGCGUUAAGUUGCAGGGUAUAGACCCGAAACCCGGUGAUCUAGCCAUGGGCAGGUUGAAGGUUGGGUAACACUAACUGGAGGACCGAACCGACUAAUGUUGAAAAAUUAGCGGAUGACUUGUGGCUGGGGGUGAAAGGCCAAUCAAACCGGGAGAUAGCUGGUUCUCCCCGAAAGCUAUUUAGGUAGCGCCUCGUGAAUUCAUCUCCGGGGGUAGAGCACUGUUUCGGCAAGGGGGUCAUCCCGACUUACCAACCCGAUGCAAACUGCGAAUACCGGAGAAUGUUAUCACGGGAGACACACGGCGGGUGCUAACGUCCGUCGUGAAGAGGGAAACAACCCAGACCGCCAGCUAAGGUCCCAAAGUCAUGGUUAAGUGGGAAACGAUGUGGGAAGGCCCAGACAGCCAGGAUGUUGGCUUAGAAGCAGCCAUCAUUUAAAGAAAGCGUAAUAGCUCACUGGUCGAGUCGGCCUGCGCGGAAGAUGUAACGGGGCUAAACCAUGCACCGAAGCUGCGGCAGCGACGCUUAUGCGUUGUUGGGUAGGGGAGCGUUCUGUAAGCCUGCGAAGGUGUGCUGUGAGGCAUGCUGGAGGUAUCAGAAGUGCGAAUGCUGACAUAAGUAACGAUAAAGCGGGUGAAAAGCCCGCUCGCCGGAAGACCAAGGGUUCCUGUCCAACGUUAAUCGGGGCAGGGUGAGUCGACCCCUAAGGCGAGGCCGAAAGGCGUAGUCGAUGGGAAACAGGUUAAUAUUCCUGUACUUGGUGUUACUGCGAAGGGGGGACGGAGAAGGCUAUGUUGGCCGGGCGACGGUUGUCCCGGUUUAAGCGUGUAGGCUGGUUUUCCAGGCAAAUCCGGAAAAUCAAGGCUGAGGCGUGAUGACGAGGCACUACGGUGCUGAAGCAACAAAUGCCCUGCUUCCAGGAAAAGCCUCUAAGCAUCAGGUAACAUCAAAUCGUACCCCAAACCGACACAGGUGGUCAGGUAGAGAAUACCAAGGCGCUUGAGAGAACUCGGGUGAAGGAACUAGGCAAAAUGGUGCCGUAACUUCGGGAGAAGGCACGCUGAUAUGUAGGUGAAGCGACUUGCUCGUGGAGCUGAAAUCAGUCGAAGAUACCAGCUGGCUGCAACUGUUUAUUAAAAACACAGCACUGUGCAAACACGAAAGUGGACGUAUACGGUGUGACGCCUGCCCGGUGCCGGAAGGUUAAUUGAUGGGGUCAGCGCAAGCGAAGCUCUUGAUCGAAGCCCCGGUAAACGGCGGCCGUAACUAUAACGGUCCUAAGGUAGCGAAAUUCCUUGUCGGGUAAGUUCCGACCUGCACGAAUGGCGUAAUGAUGGCCAGGCUGUCUCCACCCGAGACUCAGUGAAAUUGAACUCGCUGUGAAGAUGCAGUGUACCCGCGGCAAGACGGAAAGACCCCGUGAACCUUUACUAUAGCUUGACACUGAACAUUGAGCCUUGAUGUGUAGGAUAGGUGGGAGGCUUUGAAGUGUGGACGCCAGUCUGCAUGGAGCCGACCUUGAAAUACCACCCUUUAAUGUUUGAUGUUCUAACGUGGACCCGUGAUCCGGGUUGCGGACAGUGUCUGGUGGGUAGUUUGACUGGGGCGGUCUCCUCCUAAAGAGUAACGGAGGAGCACGAAGGUUGGCUAAUCCUGGUCGGACAUCAGGAGGUUAGUGCAAUGGCAUAAGCCAGCUUGACUGCGAGCGUGACGGCGCGAGCAGGUGCGAAAGCAGGUCAUAGUGAUCCGGUGGUUCUGAAUGGAAGGGCCAUCGCUCAACGGAUAAAAGGUACUCCGGGGAUAACAGGCUGAUACCGCCCAAGAGUUCAUAUCGACGGCGGUGUUUGGCACCUCGAUGUCGGCUCAUCACAUCCUGGGGCUGAAGUAGGUCCCAAGGGUAUGGCUGUUCGCCAUUUAAAGUGGUACGCGAGCUGGGUUUAGAACGUCGUGAGACAGUUCGGUCCCUAUCUGCCGUGGGCGCUGGAGAACUGAGGGGGCUGCUCCUAGUACGAGAGGACCGGAGUGGACGCAUCACUGGUGUUCGGGUUGUCAUGCCAAUGGCACUGCCCGGUAGCUAAAUGCGGAAGAGAUAAGUGCUGAAAGCAUCUAAGCACGAAACUUGCCCCGAGAUGAGUUCUCCCUGACUCCUUGAGAGUCCUGAAGGAACGUUGAAGACGACGACGUUGAUAGGCCGGGUGUGUAAGCGCAGCGAUGCGUUGAGCUAACCGGUACUAAUGAACCGUGAGGCUUAACCUUACAACGCCGAAG